This 429-nucleotide long non-coding RNA is filed under the name Gallus gallus (chicken). Lineage: Eukaryota; Metazoa; Chordata; Aves; Galliformes; Phasianidae. The record is from RNAcentral.
CAUGGAGGUUAUUUCCCCCAUUUCCUCCUCCACCAUCAAUGCCAUCUGACUGCGAGGAAGAUGGCCGGGAGCUCCUUGACCGAGGCUGUCCGUUCAGUCCCAGUGGUGUUCCCAGACGAUGGCUCAUCUGAGAUGCUGUGUCAUCUGACUCCCACCUCUCCAAUUCCUCCCGUACCAGCCUCUCCAUCUGCUCCCUGUGGAUCUCACUGUCACGGCCCAGCCUUUCAUCCUCUGUCACUCCAUCCAACAGCCUUCCCAACACAUCUCUCCUUUUCAGUUUGGCUCUCUCCAUCGCUUCCAGCUUCACAAUCACUGCGUCAAUCUUGGAGACAAUGCUGCCAAUGGAGUGCUCCAUGCGAUCCACCCUCCUCAUGAGUACUUGGAACUCUUCAUAGGACACUCCACUAGAGCUGCUGCCCCUCCUCCUUG